This 355-nucleotide transfer-messenger RNA is filed under the name Anaerohalosphaeraceae. RNAcentral describes it as "UBA7708 sp016935635 Standard tmRNA". It matches the Rfam family "transfer-messenger RNA". Rfam says of the family: Bacterial tmRNA, also known as 10Sa RNA or SsrA, is named for its dual tRNA and mRNA-like properties. Its role is to liberate the mRNA from a stalled ribosome. To accomplish this part of the tmRNA is used as a reading frame that ends in a translation stop signal. Lineage: Bacteria; Pseudomonadati; Planctomycetota; Phycisphaerae; Sedimentisphaerales. The record is from RNAcentral. RNAcentral also lists the same sequence under 1 other name.
GGGGGCGAAAGGCUUCGACCGGAUAAGUUGACGGUCGGUUGGCGUGUCGAGGAUAACGGUUGGCCUCGUUAAAUAUCCGUUAAAAAACUUAACUGGCAACUACCAGUACCAAAUGGCUGCGUAAAUUACGCAACCCGCAUCGGUGGGUUUUCCCGUGAAUCUGCCGUUUGCGACGACUAGCGGGAUAGCUGAGGCGUCUUUUCGCAGCGCCAACGCGAAAUCCUUUGCGAAAUAGCGAUGCGGCAAGCCUGUCGUUGGGCGUGCCGUUGGGCGAAUCCUAAAAUAACGACUACACAUGUAGAAGACCGGCCUGAAAUAUCUCGGGACAGGGGUUCGAAUCCCCUCGCCUCCAUUU